Molecule: long non-coding RNA, 487 nt
Filed under: Rattus norvegicus (Norway rat)
Lineage: Eukaryota; Metazoa; Chordata; Mammalia; Rodentia; Muridae
Description: long non-coding RNA NONRATT024950
Source: RNAcentral
AAUGAAAGUGAGCUCUCCACUCAGCCUGUGGGAAGACCACAAUGGUGGCUGUGGCUACCCACAGCUGGACCAAGACUGGUACCAGAAGUCAUCGCUUGAAGGAAGGGACCUGCCUUCCUCCAGCUCCCAGAAGACAGGGUUUCUCUGUGAAACAGCCUUGGAUGUCCCGGAAAUCACUUUGUAGACCAGACUAGCCUUGAACUCAUUGCCUCCCAAGUAUUGGGAUUGAAGGUUGGCAUCAACUGUCACGUCAACAUAGCCUAUGCUGAUCUGAGAAGGAAACCACAGCUGAGGGAUAGACCUGGUCAGAAUGGCCUAUGGACGCGUCUAAGGGAAAUUGUUUGCUUAAAUCUUCCAAUCAAUGUUGUCUAGAAAAAGUUAUAUCCAAAUUCAACGCCUCCACAGAAGAUCUUACUGAAAACAAAGAACUUGUAAGCCAUACAUAUGUUCCCUGAAAUACAAAUUGCAAUAAAAUCAGAAAAGUAUU